This 845-nucleotide ribosomal RNA is filed under the name uncultured Gammaproteobacteria bacterium. RNAcentral describes it as "bacterial SSU rRNA". It matches the Rfam family "Bacterial small subunit ribosomal RNA", at positions 45 to 887 of the family's 1533-position model. The record is from RNAcentral. Lineage: Bacteria; Pseudomonadati; Pseudomonadota; Gammaproteobacteria.
GCCCUUAUACAUGCAAGUCGAACGAGAAAGCUUCUUCGGAAGUGAGUAAAGUGGCGGACGGGUGAGUAACGCGUAGGAAUCUACCUUUCAGUGGGGGAUAGCUCGGGGAAACUCGAAUUAAUACCGCAUAUACCCUUAGGGGGAAAGGGGGCCUCUCCUUGGAAGCUCUCGCUGUUAGAUGAGCCUGCGUGAGAUUAGCUUGUUGGUAAGGUAAUGGCUUACCAAGGCUACGAUCUCUAGCUGGUCUGAGAGGACGAUCAGCCACACUGGGACUGAGACACGGCCCAGACUCCUACGGGAGGCAGCAGUAGGGAAUAUUGGACAAUGGGGGAAACCCUGAUCCAGGCAUGCCGCGUGUGUGAAGAAGGCCUUAGGGUUGUAAAGCACUUUAAGUGAGGAAGAAAAGAUUCAAAUUAAUACUUUGAAUCCCUGACAUUACUCACAGAAUAAGGACCGGCUAACUCCGUGCCAGCAGCCGCGGUAAUACGGAGGGUCCAAGCGUUAAUCGGAAUUACUGGGCGUAAAGCGCGCGUAGAUGGUUUAUCUAGUUGGGUGUGAAAUCCCUGGGCUCAACCCAGGAACUGCAUUCAAAACUUAUAAACUAGAGUACGAAAGAGGAGAGCAGAAUUCAUGGUGUAGCGGUGAAAUGCGUAGAUAUCAUGAGGAAUACCAGUGGCGAAGGCGGCUCUCUGGUUCGAGACUGACAUUGAGGUGCGAAAGCGUGGGUAGCAAACAGGAUUAGAUACCCUGGUAGUCCACGCCGUAAACGAUGAGAACUAGCCGUUGGAUCUUUAGAUUCAGUGGCGCAGCUAACGCAUUAAGUUCUCCGCCUGGGGAGUACGGCC